UCAUGCAUACACUACAGCAGGCGUAUGUGGGCAAGGAAUGGGGAACCUUCAUUUUUUUUUCUUUUUUUCAGAGCUGAGGACCGAACCCAGGGCCUUGCGCUUGCUAGGCAAGCGCUCUACCACUGAGCCAAAUCCCCAACCCCAUGGGGAACCUUCAAAUACAGCUACAUUGAGAGCCAGAGUUUCAAUACAGGAGCCUGGGGUCCAUAAACAUUAGUCCACAGCAUCCCUGCCCUCUCUCUUUCAACUUCCAUCAUCUCGUUUGUCCUCAGACAGUGUCUCACUAUGUAGGAUCCUAGCUGACCUAGGAUCUCACACCUGCUUCUGCCCUUCCAAGUACUGGAUAAAGACCUGUGCCACCAUA
RNAcentral lists this long non-coding RNA (364 nucleotides) under Rattus norvegicus (Norway rat). Its description in RNAcentral is "long non-coding RNA NONRATT009485". The record is from RNAcentral. Lineage: Eukaryota; Metazoa; Chordata; Mammalia; Rodentia; Muridae.